RNAcentral lists this ribosomal RNA (603 nucleotides) under Streptococcus thermophilus. RNAcentral describes it as "bacterial SSU rRNA". It matches the Rfam family "Bacterial small subunit ribosomal RNA", at positions 54 to 641 of the family's 1533-position model. The record is from RNAcentral. Lineage: Bacteria; Bacillati; Bacillota; Bacilli; Lactobacillales; Streptococcaceae.
CAUGCAAGUAGAACGCUGAAGAGAGGAGCUUGCUCUUCUUGGAUGAGUUGCGAACGGGUGAGUAACGCGUAGGUAACCUGCCUUGUAGCGGGGGAUAACUAUUGGAAACGAUAGCUAAUACCGCAUAACAAUGGAUGACACAUGUCAUUUAUUUGAAAGGGGCAAUUGCUCCACUACAAGAUGGACCUGCGUUGUAUUAGCUAGUAGGUGAGGUAAUGGCUCACCUAGGCGACGAUACAUAGCCGACCUGAGAGGGUGAUCGGCCACACUGGGACUGAGACACGGCCCAGACUCCUACGGGAGGCAGCAGUAGGGAAUCUUCGGCAAUGGGGGCAACCCUGACCGAGCAACGCCGCGUGAGUGAAGAAGGUUUUCGGAUCGUAAAGCUCUGUUGUAAGUCAAGAACGGGUGUGAGAGUGGAAAGUUCACACUGUGACGGUAGCUUACCAGAAAGGGACGGCUAACUACGUGCCAGCAGCCGCGGUAAUACGUAGGUCCCGAGCGUUGUCCGGAUUUAUUGGGCGUAAAGCGAGCGCAGGCGGUUUGAUAAGUCUGAAGUUAAAGGCUGUGGCUCAACCAUGGUUCGCUUUGGAAACUUCAAAC